Molecule: ribosomal RNA, 1040 nt
Filed under: Onomastus sp. MRB085
Lineage: Eukaryota; Metazoa; Arthropoda; Arachnida; Araneae; Salticidae
Description: eukaryotic LSU rRNA
Rfam family: Eukaryotic large subunit ribosomal RNA
Source: RNAcentral
GCGAGCGAAAGGGAAGAGCCCAGCGCCGAAUCCCCCGCCCUCGGCGGUGGGAAAUGUGGCGUUCAGGAGUGAGCGUGCCGGGUUCGGCCUGGACAGCAAGUCCCCCUGACCGGGGCCUAUCCAGAGCGGGUGCGAGGCCCAUAGCUGCCCGUUCCGUCUCGGAUGCGAUCUCCUUGGAGUCGGGUUGCUUGGGAGUGCAGCCCUAAUCAGGUGGUAAACUCCACCUAAGGCUAAAUACCGCCGUGAGACCGAUAGCAAACAAGUACCGUGAGGGAAAGUUGCAAAGAACUUUGAAGAGAGAGUUCAAGAGUACGUGAAACUGCUCAGAGGUAAACGGGUGGGCCCUCGAAAUCCUGUGGCGAGAGGAUUCAGUCUGGAUCGGCGGACGUGAAGGGUCGGAAGAUCAGGAAGGGCUUCCCGUGAGGGGCCGUCCGACCGCACGCAUUCCGUCGUGCCCGACGCAUUUGUCUCUCGUCCUAAGGACGCUGCAGCCGGUCGGGCAGAGCAAGCGCGACGGCCUGAAGGGCAGGAGAUGGCAGGUGGCCGGUGGCGCGCCUUGUUCGCGUCGCCAGUUGUUAGCCGUCCUGCCAGUGGCCCGUCGCCCGACCGAGGUGUCACCAGGCCCGCAAGGGCCAGCGCGUCUCCUCUCCAGCAGAUGCGGGCCGUUCCGCGGCAGGCGUCGGCCGUCUUUCCGUCGCACUCCUCCGGAGUGGGCGGGCAGGCGUAAGGCGUCGUUCGCUGCGGAGGCCCCGUCGGAGAUCGGGGGCUGGCAGCGAGUAGGUCGGUCACCCACCCGACCCGUCUUGAAACACGGACCAAGGAGUCUAACAUGUGCGCGAGUCAAUGGGUCUUGAACAGGCCCAGGGGCGCAAUGAAAGCAAAGGUCGGCUACACGCCGACCGAGUUGGGAUCCCCUCUUCGGGGGGGCGCACCAACGACCCGUCCUAUCCGGUCCGCCGGUUGGGCGGAGUGUGAGCGUACACGUUGGGACCCGAAAGAUGGUGAACUAUGCCCGGACAGGACGAAGCCAGAGGAAACUC